GUGGGGAAUAUUGGUCAAUGGGGGGAACCCUGAACCAGCGACGCCGCGUGAGGGAAGAAGGUUUUCGGAUUGUAAACCUCUGUCUUCGGGGAAGAUAAUGACGGUACCCGAGGAGGAAGCCACGGCUAACUACGUGCCAGCAGCCGCGGUAAUACGUAGGUGGCAAGCGUUGUCCGGAAUUACUGGGUGUAAAGGGAGUGUAGGCGGGACGGUAAGUUAGGUGUGAAAACUAUGGGCUCAACCCAUAGAUUGCACUUAAAACUGCUGUUCUUGAGUGAAGUAGAGGCAAGCAGAAUUCCUAGUGUAGCGGUGAAAUGCGUAGAUAUUAGGAGGAAUACCAGUGGCGAAGGCGGCUUGCUGGGCUUUUACUGACGCUGAGGCUCGAAAGCGUGGGUAGCAAACAGGAUUAGAAACCCUUGUAGUCC
RNAcentral lists this ribosomal RNA (425 nucleotides) under uncultured bacterium. RNAcentral's name for it is "bacterial SSU rRNA". It matches the Rfam family "Bacterial small subunit ribosomal RNA", at positions 354 to 796 of the family's 1533-position model. The record is from RNAcentral.